GGCGGCGCGCUUAACACAUGCAAGUCGAGCGAGAACCGGACCUUCGGGUCCGGGGACAGCGGCGAACGGGUGAGUAACACGUGAGUAAUCCACCCUUGGUACCGGGAUAGCCCGAGGAAACUCGGAUUAAUACCGGAUAGCCCGACAGCCUUUCGGGGCGGUCGGAAAAGGUAGCUUCGGCCUCCGACCAAGGACGAGCUCGCGGCGGAUUAGCUUGUUGGCGGGGUAACGGCCCACCAAGGCGACGAUCCGUAGCUGGUCUGAGAGGACGAUCAGCCACACUGGGACUGAGACACGGCCCAGACUCCUACGGGAGGCAGCAGUGGGGAAUCUUGCGCAAUGGGCGAAAGCCUGACGCAGCGACGCCGCGUGAGGGAAGAAGGCCUUCGGGUUGUAAACCUCUUUCAGGAGGGACGAAGCCACUCGGGUUAAUAGCCCAGAGGGUGACGGUACCUCCAGAAGAAGCCCCGGCUAACUACGUGCCAGCAGCCGCGGUAAUACGUAGGGGGCAAGCGUUGUCCGGAUUUAUUGGGCGUAAAGAGCGUGUAGGCGGCUUUACAGGUCCGCUGUGAAAACUCGAGGCUCAACCUCGAA
Molecule: ribosomal RNA, 594 nt
Filed under: uncultured Actinomycetes bacterium
Lineage: Bacteria; Bacillati; Actinomycetota; Actinomycetes
Description: bacterial SSU rRNA
Rfam family: Bacterial small subunit ribosomal RNA
Source: RNAcentral